CCACUGCAGAAGUGCCACCAGCUCCAGGCUGUGAUAAGAGAGACAGCGUUGUCCUUCAGGCGUAGCUUUUGGUUUGGCCUACUGGACACUGCGAACAAUAUCUGGGAAAAUGAAGGAACAUUGCAAGAAGGAAAAAACUCAAGAUUCCCAAGGCAAGGACUUCUAUUCUAAACAAGCCAAGCUUAAAUGAAAACGUAUCUCAGAACCAACCGAUCACUUGAUUUUGUCAGGACAUAAAUUCAAUGAGUCCUUGGAGUCUCGUGCUUCUCUCUUGUGACUCUUCUCCAAGGCAAGCUUGUCAAAAGCAGACAUUCAGCUUCUCUCACAGUGCCUGGCACAGAGUACGAGCUUAAUAAAUACCAGAGUCACCAAUAUGGUCAAUUUUAAGACAUAAAGGAUAGAGAAAAGAAGAAAAGAAAAGGGAAAGAGAAAGGACCCAAUUCAACUCUUGCAAGAAAAAAUUCAUCUUCCUUAUACCAAUCCCUGACAAGGACAUGUCACUGUUAUGGGUUGAACUGUAUCCACCUCCUCUUCCCAAGUUGGUGAAAUUUCAAAUGACACCUUAGUUAGAAAUAGGGUCUUUGCACAUGGUCAAGUUAAAAUUAGGUCAUUAGAGUGCAUCCUAAUCCAAAAUGAUUGGUGUCCUUAUAGGAAGGCCAUGUAAAGAUAAGACAGAGAUCAGGGUGAUGAAUUCACAGGCCAAGGAAUGCCCACGUUUGCUGCAAUCAACCAAAAACUUAAGAGAGAAGCACUAGACAGAUUCUCCUGAACAGCCCUCAAAUGAAAACCUUGCUUUUGGACUUUUAAAACUGUGAAAGAAGUUUCUACUGCUUCACCCACCUUGUUUAUGGAACUUUAUUAUGGCUGUCCCAGGAAGCUAAGACAGCCAGCACCCAGUCAAUACAAUUAAUACAAAGGAUAACAAGAGAACAGCUGUGAAUUAUAUAACAAAAUUAAUCAGAAAAAUCAAAUAAAAAUUCAGAAGGCAAAUGUAGUCCAAUA
Molecule: long non-coding RNA, 1002 nt
Organism: Talpa occidentalis (Iberian mole)
Lineage: Eukaryota; Metazoa; Chordata; Mammalia; Eulipotyphla; Talpidae
Exons: 5
Source: RefSeq, a predicted model, not a curated record